Molecule: ribosomal RNA, 252 nt
Filed under: uncultured bacterium
Lineage: Bacteria
Description: partial 16S ribosomal RNA
Rfam family: Bacterial small subunit ribosomal RNA
Source: RNAcentral
GACAGAGGGUGCAAACGUUGUUCGGAUUUACUGGGCGUAAAGCGUGUGUAGGCGGCUUUGCAAGUCGGAUGUGAAAUCCCACGGCUCAACCGUGGAAGUGCAUCCGAAACGGCAUCGCUUGAGUCUCGGAGAGGAAGGUGGAAUGCUUGGUGUAGAGGUGAAAUGCGUAGAUAUCGGGAGGAACACCUGUGGCGAAGGCGGCCCCCUGGUUGGAUACUGACGCUGAUACGCGAAAGCGUGGGGAGCAACAGG